Onychostoma macrolepis is the source of this 2479-nucleotide RNA transcript. RefSeq lists it as uncharacterized. NCBI's taxonomy places the organism in Eukaryota, Metazoa, Chordata, Actinopteri, Cypriniformes, Cyprinidae. The transcript has 8 exons. The record is from RefSeq and is a predicted model, not a curated record.
AUCUAUUUCUCCCUCCGUCAUCCUUCAGUGGUGUGUGCCAAUCCACUCGGCCUCAAUGGCACACACACACCUGGACAGAAUAUGAGUGACCACAGGACUUCAUGUCAGCCUCAGAGUCAUCUUGUGGUUGACACAUCCCACAAGGACACUGAUAACACCACGCAGCCAAAACAAGCUCUCCUCACAGAGACUAUCCCAGCUGAGCCCUGCCCACACAGCUCAUCACAAACAGACUGUGACGUACUACAUCAGCUCCAAGACUCAGCACCCAAGGACAGCUAUCUGGAAAACAGCCAGGGAAGCCAGGACAACAUAUCACAGCCACCGGAAACACCAGAGCCAGAGCCCCUCUCGCCAGACACACUAUCCCUCUCUCCAGAAUCUCCACUUCUAAGCUUCUCACAGAAAAUGGAGGAACUGGUGUAUGCUGGGACCAAACUCUCCCACUCGUUCGCUGCAAGCCCCCAGAUAUCAACUAAAAAACGGCGGGCCCCACAACCACCAAAGACAGCAGGCCCAGCUCUCCCUCCUCCUCCUGUGAGAGCUCUCCGACCGCUGCCACAACGCCAGGGCCCAAACCCUCCUCCAUCAGCUAUUGAGAAAUGUCCGAUGCAGUCUCGUGGCCAGACAACCUUGCUUGGAGGUGUGCUGAAAUGCAUCUGUGGUUUUCACACUCCAAAGCAGCCCACUGCCUCUACUGGACCAGCACAAAGGGUGGUGGAACAACCUGCUGUUGCUGGAACAGCAAAGGAGGUCAUGGAGCAGAGUCAGCCUGAACCCCAGCACCAUCCCCCUCCCCAGCCCCAGCCUACUGCACUUGUGGCAACAAGAGUUGCACCACAAUUGUCAAUGUUUACCAAAUCAAGAUUUACUGGCUCUCACAUUGCUGCAGCAAAGCCAAAUCUUAGUGUGGCCAGGAGACCUUCUCGGGUUGAAGACCAGCCCAGCGCAGCAGUGUCUAGUGCCUCAGUACCAAGCACCACUGUCUCUACACCAGAUCCUCAAGUUCCAGCCCCUGUCCCCAGAGCCACUGCAGAUGUGUCCAGUCCUGCGCAGCCAUGCAGUAUUGUCUCAACAGCUCCUUCUGGGUCAUUAUUGCAAGCUCCAUCUGUAGUUUCACUUCCUCGUUUGUGGUCGGAGACCUUGCCACCAGAGGAUCACAAGUGGAUUGGCAAAAGGCUUUUCAAAAUGGGAUCCAAGGGAAAGCCAGAGCUUCGUGAUAACCUUCGUGAUAACCACUUAUCUACAAUCAGGCUCCAGCUCCAGACAGAUUCUUUUGUCAUUCUCUUCUGCUGUAGAUGCCGUACAAGCUGUGGAGGGUCAAGAUUCUCUGUCCCAAUCCUGCCUGCGGACAACAUCAGCUGACAGGAGGUGGUCUGCACAAAAGGGCACGGCAGGUUCUAGACAUUGACAGAACGUAUAACAUGGUCACAGAAACCCUCAUCUGUACCAAGUGUAGAGCCUCGCAUGUGUCCUGGAGUCAUACUGUCCUGCAACAGCUAGAUCUGAGCCAUCGCUCUGAGUUUCAGGUCAUCCUCACACGGAAGUAUGCCUGUGAUAUGCGGGUCAUCCGGCUCCUGCGUGAGCGUGGCUUAGGCAACAGCCCCAAGCGGGUGAUCAAGGAGCUGCGUGAAAACCACAGCGAGCAGUGGCUCCAUCGUCUGGCCCGGUACACCACCCAAUGUGUUGACUUCCUCAAUCAACUCAGGGUGAUGCCGGUAAAAUUCCAGGAGCCCCCAGAGCCUACAGUGGUGCCAAGCUGCAAGUGACUGCUCACCGUUUACAGCCAAGACAUCCUGACAAGGCUGGAUGAAAUCCAUGCAAGGAUAACAUCCACCUAUGGUUCUGUCUUGAAGAUGGAUUCCACUUAAAAGAUCACCAAGAAGCUGGCUGGGACAGCGAGGGGAACGGGACUCUGGCUUACCUCUGUUGGCAACGAGUUUGGUCAGGUGUUCAUAAGUGUGCUCACAGCCCAGGAAGGAGCAGGACUGGACAUGAUGGUAGACGGUCUGGUGAAAAGAUACCAGCAGGCUGGUGUGGAUCCACCUGCUGUGUUGUACGUGGACUGUGGGUGCUGCAACGAGCUGGGCGAGACCAAGCUGAAAACCAGAUUCAGAGGCUGGCCAGAUCUCGUGAUACGCUUGGACAUCUGGCAUUUUAUGCGCAGGAUUGCCUUGGGGUGUACAACUGAUGCCCAUCAGCUGUACCCUAUCUUCAUGUCACAGCUAUCAGCGUGCAUCUUUGAAUGGGAUGCGGCUGAUGUCUCUAUGCUUCGCAAAGCAAAGAGAGAGCUGUUGAUGUCCCAGGGUUGGCCUGCGCUGACAGAAGAAGAUGUCAGCAAGCAUGGAGCACAUCUGGAGUGUCCAGAAGAAGCAUGUUAAGUGUAUCCAAGACCCCCCUGGUGUUGUGCUCUAUACAGAGACAGGGAGCAUAACCAAGGGAGGUGUGCUUCUGAAGACAUACAGAUGUGCCAGAGGCU